UUUGAACACAAAACAUUUAUUUUGAGCAAACAACAUUAAAACUGCAUAGGAAUAUUUUAAGGUCCACACAGUCCACAGGGACAACAGUGACUAUUUUAAGGCUGCUGAUAGCAGAUAUGACAAUUUUGUUGCUACAUCUUCCAGCCUUCCCUAUGGACCAUGAAAGACAGUACAUUCAGAAAACUUCCUUCGGAAUUUUGUCAAUCCUUUGUUCUAUAGAACACAAGCAUGUAUUUAGCCAUGCUAUUCCUACAGUGUGCGAGUUCUGUGCAUCUCAACCACUUGUAACCUUUGUGACAUAGGGAGGCCCAGAGUGCAUUGCUUUGCAAUAUGAAGUCAGCUCUCGACAACAUCACAAGGCUACAAACCACUGAGUGGCAGGUUCUAGAUCACUGAAGGAAGAAUUUAAGGAGAAGGAGGAAAAAAAAAAUUUCAUAAAAUAGAGGUCAUUAUUUCUCAUCCACAUGAGAGCGCAGAUGUCAAGAUUACAAAACCCAUGCAAUUUUUUUUUUUAACGUACACUAUAUAAAUACAUAUGUAAGUAAGGAGUUAUUUUUCUUUUCUCUGAGUGUUUAAUGAUCAAGACACAAAACCAGUAUGUACCAAAGGAAAUAUUUGUGAGUCACAGACAACUGUUUUUUGUAGAAAUAAUGGUUCCUAAAUAAGGGUCUGUAUUACAUUUACCCACCCUCCGGGAUUAGUGGAAGCAUAACAAAAUGAUAGGAUGUAGGGAUAAGUAACCUGUGCCAUUCAGAUGCUCUGAUUUAGGACUUCAAGGCAGCUAACAACAACACAACCUGGGAAUUCUAAGAACCCCAGGCCAUUGCAACUACAGUUGGAUAAAACACACACACUCAUACUCACUUUGACACAAGGCACUCUUAAUGAAAGAUCGUUCAGAUAAUCUAUUUCCCUAGCUGCCUACUGUUCUUUCACUCUGGUUAAUGACAUACAGACAGAGCAAAUACAGUACAAAAUACAUUUGUUUUGUAUGAGACAAGUUGAAUUGACACUACAUUUCCACAUACACAAGCAGUCACAAGUUUAGAACUUUAAUUCCAGCUAUUUAGAAGGCCCAAUACACAACAAAACAAGUUUGUGACCAAUUAGGGAAUGACAAAAUUACAUGGAAGCAAAAUAUAUCCAAAUACAGUAUUUAUAGAGACUUAUUUCAGAAUUCAAGAGCUACAGGACUGGACAUUAAGAAAACAAAAAACAAAACCCAAACUUAAGCAGGUUUUUUAUUUGUUACUUUUUUUUUUUUUUUUUUUAAGGUCCAAGUCUGAAAACCUGUUUUGUGCUCGUUUUGGGUAAAUUCUCGUUUUACUUUUUUUUUUUUUUUUUUAAAAUUUUACCAAAUUUAACUGGGGUUAAGCGGGAAAAACCCUUAAAUAAAAUUAUUACAUUGUUAUUAAUUGCUAUACAAUUAAGAAAUAGUACAGAGCCCCAGAUAUGUCCUCCUCACUUCAUGUGAAUGCUGUACUAUCUUGACCACUUGAUUUAGUACAUUGUGCCCAUGAGAUAGUACAGCGUGUGCAUGAGAUGGUUAAAUCACUUGCACACUAACUAUAUUGUACUCACAAAAAUAAUCUGAGCACACAACCUAAGUUGUGUGCAUGGUAUCAUUAACUAGUGCACAUGAUCUAUUAAAUUGCGUGAAUGAGAUAACUAUGACAUGGGCAUGACGUAUUCUGCUUGCUCUGGAGAUUCUCCUACCUUAGGCAUGCCUGUCUGAGAUCUCUUAAAAUUUUACAUCACAGACCUACUCGGUGCUCUAGCACUUGUACAAAUCUGAAUCUUUCACUUCAGCAGCCUUAGGUCAUCGAGGGAACGCCUAAUGCAGGAUGACUUCUAGUGCAAGUGGGCUACUUUGUGCCCAAAGGAUGACUAUAUUAUCGGUCGUGCAUGCAAACUAUUUAGUUAUUUUCUUCAUACUAAAUAGUAAACUGUGCGCAUAAUGUAAAUGAAUAUUUUAUCUGAAACCUCUGGGUCUCUGUAUAAUUGUGUAUUUAAUUAGGGGUAUAAAAAUUUAAUAAAGUCAUUGUUAAAUAUUAUGCUGCUGGUACUAUACUAUUAUAUGGUAAAUAUAAAAUAAAAUGUGAGAUUACCCAAAAAUGCACAAAACUCUGAUGUAUAGUUUACAUGUUGAUCUUGAACACAAGACAGUAAUAGGAGAGAAAACCCAAGACACCCACUUUUGCACAGUGAGCAGUUAUUUUUCUUGGCUGGAUUGUCUUUGACAGUUACCCAUUAAAUGCAGAUGAAUAAAAAAAAAA
RNAcentral lists this long non-coding RNA (2276 nucleotides) under Pelobates cultripes (western spadefoot toad). Lineage: Eukaryota; Metazoa; Chordata; Amphibia; Anura; Pelobatidae. The record is from RNAcentral.